UAACCUUAGAUUAAGUAGGAAUACUUACUAAACUUAAGUAUAUUAAUAAGUAAAAAAAAAGAAACUAAUAGGGAUUGCUUUAGUAAUAGUGAGUAAAGUAGUAAUAGCUUAAAUUUAAAAUCUAACCUUAAGCUUAAGUUAUAAUUUAUAGAGGAUGCUUUUAGUAUAGUACCUUCUAAGUUCUUUAGAAUAGAACGCUAUAGAGGGUAAGAGCCCUAUAUAGUUAGAUACUAAGCCUUUAUAAAGCUCUUUUAAUAAGUUAAGUAGUUUAGAAAUACUACUUAAAAUAGGAGGUAUAUUUCUUUUAAAGCUAAAUAUUAACUAAAGACCGAUAGUAUAUAAGUAAAGUAAUUAAAAGAUAAAAAGUACUUUAAAAAGAGGGUUAAAUAGUAUAUAAAAUUAUUAAAAGGGAAGCGCUUAUAACUAAACUUAUACUUAGUAAAUUACUUAGCUCUUAUAGUUAGGGUACUUUAUUAGUAUAAGCUAGUAUUAACUUAUUAUUAGGGAUAAAAGCUUUAGGAAUAUAGCUCUCUUUAGGGAGUGUUAUAGCCCGUUAUAUAAUACCCUUUAGUAAGCUAAGGUAUAUACUCUAUAAGGAUACUAACGUAAUAGUUAUUAGUAACCUAUCUUAAAAUAUAGAUUAAGGAGUUAACCUUAUAUAUAAGUAUUUAGGUAUUAAAUCCCUAUACUUAAUAAAAGUAAACGUAGGUAAGAGCUUUAGUAUAUUAUUAACUGAUCUUAAUGUUCUUAAAUAGAUUUAAGUAAGAGUAUAUAGGGUUAGACCUAAAAGAAGGUAAACUAUACGUAUAUAGGGUAAAGCUAGAGGAAACUUUAGUAGAGGCUUAUAGCGGUUCUAAUAUAUAAAUUAAUUAUUAAAUAUAUAUAUAGGGGCGAAAGAUUAAUUAAACCUUUUAGUAGUUAGUUUCUACUAAAGUUUCCCUUAGGAUAGUAGUAUUAAACUUAGUUUUAUAAGGUAAAGUAAAUAAUUAGGGACUUAAGGGCGCUAUAUUACCUUUAUCUAUUCUUAAACUUUAAAUAUAUAAGAAGCCUUUAUUACUUAAUUAAAUAUAGGUAUUUAAAUAUAUUAAUACUAAUAGGCUAUUUUUAAUAAGUAGAACUAAUAAUAUAGGAUAAACUAAACGUAAGGUUAAGGUACUAAAGUAAACGCUUAUUAAAUACUAUAAAAGGUAUUAGUAUAUCUUAAUAAUAGGACGGUAGCUAUAGAAGUUAGAAUCUAUUAAGGACUAUAUAAUAACUUACUUAUUAAAUAUAUUAGCCUUAAAAAUAGAUAGCGCUUAAGCGUCUUACUUAUACCUUACCUUUAGUAUAGAAACGAUAUACUAAGGAGUAAGUAAACGUAGAGGUUAGUAAUAAAGCUUAAGGUAUAAGCUUAAGUAGAACGGCCUUUAGUAUAGAUCUUAGUAGUAGUAGUAAAUACUUUAAUAAGAACUUAAAGGACUAAAGUAGGGAAAGGUUCUAUAUAAAUAGCGGUUAGAUAUAGGUUAGUUAAUCCUAAGCUAUAAGGAAGUUCUAUUUUAAAGGGGUACUUAUACCCUAUAUAGUAAAAGGGAAGUUAGUUAAUAUUUUAGUACUAAGAUAUAGGUUUUAUAUAGUAAUGUAACUAAACGUAGAGAUAAUAGUAAGGGCCUUAGGUAGAGUUCUCUUUUCUUUUUAACGGUCUAUUACCUUAAAAUCGGUUUAUUUAGAGCUAGGGUUUAAUAGCUAGAAGAGCUUAGUACUUCUAUUAGGUCCGGUACGCUUUUAACGUCCCUUAAAAAUCUAUAGGAAGGAAUAAUUCUUACGUUAGGUUAUACUUAUAACUAUAGUAGGUCUCUAAGGUAAAUAGCCUUUAGUUAAUAGAAUAAUAUAGAUAAAAAAAGUUAGUAAAAUAGAUUUAUAACUUUAGGAUAAGGAUUAGCUCUAAGGGUUAGGUACGUUAAGCUUUAAGUAGAUAGCUUAGGAGUAGGUUAUUACUAACUAAGUAACUAGUUAGAGGCUUUUAGUAUCUAAGUUCUAACGCCCUUAGUAGGCUUUAACUAUCUAACGUAUAGUUAAUAACUAACUUAGAACUAAUAUAGAUAAGGGGAAUUUAACUAUUUAAUUAAAAUAUAGUAUUAUAAUAGCUAAAAAGUAGUAUUAAUAUAAUAUAAUUUCUAUUUAGUACUCUAAAUAUUAAAGUAAAGUAAUUUAACUAAGUAUAGGUAAAUAAUAAGAGUAACUAUAACUCUCUUAAGGUAGCUAAAUACCUUAUUAUUUAAUUAGUAAUGUAUAUAAAUAGAUUAAUAAGAUUCCUACUAUCCUUAUCUACUAUUUAGUAAAACUAUAGCUAAGGGAAUAAGCUUAGUAGAAUUAGUAGAGAAAGAAGACCUUAUUAAGCUUAACUUUAGUUUAAUAUUAUAAAAAGAUAUAAGAGGUGUAGAAUAGGUAGGAGCUUUAGUACUAAUAAAAUACUACUACUCCUAUUAUUUUUUUACUUAUUUAAUAAAGUAGGGCUAGAUUUAUAUCUAACUUUUAGUUUUAAGGUCCUUUAUAAGCUAACUUAGGUUAAAGAUAUUAUUAAGUAGGGAGUUUAGCUAAAGCGGUAUAUUUAUUAAACUAUAACGUAGGUAUUUUAAAGGGGGCUUAUAGAAAAUAGAAAUCUUUAGUAAAAUAAAAGAGUAAAAGUCCCUUUAAUUUUAAUUUUUAGUAUAAAUAUAAACUAUAAAAGUAUAGCUUAUUAAUCCUUUAGUCCUUUAAAAUUUAAAGCUAGAGGUACUAAAAAAGUUACUAUAAAGAUAACUAGCUUAUAACGGCUAAGCGUUUAUAGUAACGUUACUUUUUAAUCCUUUAAUAUUAGCUCUUUUUAUUAUACUAAAGUAGAAUUUAGUAAGUAUUAAAUUAUUUACCUAUUAAUAGGGAACGUAAGCUAGGUUUAAACCGUUAUAAAAUAGGUUAGUUUUACUUUAUUAAUAACCUUAUUAUAAUAAUAAUUAAGCUUAGUAUAAGAGGAACUACUUAUUUAGAUAAUUAGUUUUUAUAGCUAUCUAACUAAGUAGUACUAUAACACUACUAUCUAUUAAAUAAUAACUAAACGCCUCUAAGUUAGAAUCUAUACUAAAACGUAAUAAUACCUCUUAUACGUAUAGAUAGAUAUAAAUAGGCUUUAACUUAACGUCUUAAUAAGUAAUUCCUUUAUUACUCUUAAAGUAAGUAGUAGUAUUUUAUAAAUUAUAAUUUUACUAUAAAUAAGGUUAAAUCCUUUAUAAAUAACUUAGAUAUAUAAAAGGGUCUUAUAAACAGUAGAGUAGCUUUAUUAUUAUAAUCUACUAAAAGUAAGCCCUCCUUUAUUUUAAUUUCC
Colletotrichum chlorophyti is the source of this 3337-nucleotide ribosomal RNA. It matches the Rfam family "Eukaryotic large subunit ribosomal RNA". NCBI's taxonomy places the organism in Eukaryota, Fungi, Ascomycota, Sordariomycetes, Glomerellales, Glomerellaceae. The record is from Rfam.